UGUUAAAAAUUACAUCUAUUUUUACUGUUAAAAACUAACGUGGCUAACAAAAUAACUAGACAAUUACAUGUGGUGUGCAAGGUGUACCUCAUUCUAUGUACAUAGAUCAGUUUUUAACAUUAAAAAUGGAUGAAAUUUUCAACA
Gossypium raimondii (Peruvian cotton) is the source of this 144-nucleotide non-coding RNA. The record is from Rfam. NCBI's taxonomy places the organism in Eukaryota, Viridiplantae, Streptophyta, Magnoliopsida, Malvales, Malvaceae.